This is a long non-coding RNA of Syngnathus typhle (broad-nosed pipefish), 775 nucleotides long. RefSeq lists it as uncharacterized. Lineage: Eukaryota; Metazoa; Chordata; Actinopteri; Syngnathiformes; Syngnathidae. The transcript has 3 exons. The record is from RefSeq and is a predicted model, not a curated record.
GUGUUUUUUUCUUAGAGAGGAGGGUGGGCUUAAUGUUGGUGUAUUAAAGGUGGGGCUAUUGAUCGUUUUGAGAAGACACGCCAGCAGAUGAGCUCUGAACGGAGGAGUUGGAGCGCGUCAAAAGUUAGAGAGCGUCAAAAGUUGUUUCGAGAUGGUUAAAGGUAAGCCAUUUUAAUACUGGUAUAAUAAUAAUAAUAAUAAUACACUGAGGUUAUCAUAUAAACAUGAUGUAAUGUGUAUGUAAUGUCAUGCAGAUAUAACCGUGUUUGCUGACGUGCAUGAAGUAUUUGAUGACGACUUUAGUGGAGUUUAUUUAACACAAUCAGACUACGAUCUCGUGGCGGCUGCUACUAGGUUAAAAAUCCCACUGAUACAGACUGGUUUGGAGGCAGAACUAUCAGAGCAGCGUGAUUUCAAUCAAAUCAUACCCCCCUUCGGCCGACAGGAGGUUGUCACGAGCUCUGCACGUCAUUUUGAAGCAACAAAAACGGCAGAGUUAUCAGAGCUACGUGAUAGCACUCAAAUCAUACUACCCUCCGGCCAGCAGGCUGCUGUCACGAGCAUAGAGACGGAAGAGGGAGCAUCCACAGAUAUAGAAUUGGCGGACUCUUUAUCUGCUUACGAAGACCUUCCUCAAGAAUCGAUAAACAAAGUCAGAGUUAAGCGUUGUGGGACGGUGGUGCCUCAAAGAGCGAGAAAGAGCAGACGUGCAGCCUUCUACUCAACCACUAAGGAGCCUGAAUCGACAAACGAGAGCCAUCACCAUAAGACAAGG